UGAUUUUCCGGUUGAUCCCGCCGGAGGUUACUGCUAUCGGGGUCCGACUAAGCCAUGCGAGUUGAGAGGGGAAAGCCCUCAGCAUACUGCUCAGUAACACGCGGAUAACCUGCCCUCGGGUCCGGGAUAACCCCGGGAAACUGGGACUAAUACCGGAUAGGCCAUAGAUGCUGGAAUGCCCUAUGGCUGAAAGCUCCGGUGCCCAAGGAUGGAUCUGCGGCCUAUCAGGUUGUAGUGGGUGUAACGUACCUACUAGCCUACGACGGGUAAGGGUUGUGAGAGCAAGAGCCCUGAGAUGGAUUCUGAGACAUGAAUCCAGGCCCUACGGGGUGCAGCAGGCGCGAAACCUUUACAAUGCGGGCAACCGCGAUAAGGGGACCCCGAGUGCCAGCACCUAGUGCUGGCUGUCCCGCUGUGUAAAAAGCAGCGGUUAGCAAGGGCCGGGCAAGAAUCGAAUUCCCG
RNAcentral lists this ribosomal RNA (462 nucleotides) under uncultured archaeon. Its description in RNAcentral is "bacterial SSU rRNA". It matches the Rfam family "Archaeal small subunit ribosomal RNA", at positions 1 to 464 of the family's 1478-position model. The record is from RNAcentral.